GAUGAAGAACGUAGCGAAAUGCGAUAAGUAGUGUGAAUUGCAGAAUUCAGUGAAUCAUCGAAUCUUUGAACGCACAUUGCGCCCGCUAGUAUUCUGGCGGGCAUGCCUGUCCGAGCGUCAUUUCAACCCUCAAGCCCCCGGGCUUGGUGUUGGGGAUCGGCGAGCCUCCGCGCCCGCCGUCCCCUAAAUCUAGUGGCGGUCUCGCUGUAGCUUCCUCUGCGUAGUAGCACACCUCGCACUGGGAAACAGCGCGGCCACGCCGUUAAACCCCCAACUUCUGAACGUUUGACCUCGGAUCAGGUAGGAAUACCCGCUGAACUUAAGCAUAUCAAUAAGCGGAGGA
Molecule: unclassified non-coding RNA, 343 nt
Filed under: soil metagenome
Description: partial contains 5.8S ribosomal RNA, internal transcribed spacer 2, and large subunit ribosomal RNA
Rfam family: 5.8S ribosomal RNA (bases 1-120)
Source: RNAcentral